UACGAAGGGGACUAGCGUUGUUCGGAAUUACUGGGCGUAAAGCGCACGUAGGCGGACUUGUAAGUCAGGGGUGAAAUCCCGGGGCUCAACCUCGGAACUGCCUUUGAUACUGCGAGUCUCGAGUCCGAUAGAGGUGGGUGGAAUUCCUAGUGUAGAGGUGAAAUUCGUAGAUAUUAGGAAGAACACCGGUGGCGAAGGCGGCUCACUGGCCCGCAACUGACGCUGAGGCGCGAAAGCGUGGGGAGCAAACAGG
This 253-nucleotide ribosomal RNA is filed under the name uncultured bacterium. Its description in RNAcentral is "partial 16S ribosomal RNA". It matches the Rfam family "Bacterial small subunit ribosomal RNA", at positions 524 to 776 of the family's 1533-position model. The record is from RNAcentral.